AUGGCUGACAUCACUGUGGGAUGCAACGGUAAAGGUUAUCCACGGUUCGGUAUGUAUUUUGGUUCUUGAGUCACGGUUCACGGUACGGUUCGGAUGCAGAGGCCAGCUGGAGCCAGGCUGUACGCCGAAACGUAACUGGGAGCUGAUGGAGAGCC
Long non-coding RNA from Sphaeramia orbicularis (orbiculate cardinalfish), 155 nucleotides. RefSeq lists it as uncharacterized. The record is from RefSeq and is a predicted model, not a curated record. The transcript is spliced from 3 exons. NCBI's taxonomy places the organism in Eukaryota, Metazoa, Chordata, Actinopteri, Kurtiformes, Apogonidae.